RNAcentral lists this ribosomal RNA (301 nucleotides) under uncultured bacterium. RNAcentral's name for it is "partial 16S ribosomal RNA". It matches the Rfam family "Bacterial small subunit ribosomal RNA", at positions 509 to 807 of the family's 1533-position model. The record is from RNAcentral.
CAGUCGCCACGGUAAUACGGAGGGUGCAAGCGUUAAUCGGAAUUACUGGGCGUAAAGCGCACGCAGGCGGUCUGACAAGUCAGAUGUGAAAUCCCCGGGCUUAACCUGGGAACUGCAUUUGAAACUGUCAGGCUGGAGUCUUGUAGAGGGGGGUGGAAUUCCAGGUGUAGCGGUGAAAUGCGUAGAGAUCUGGAGGAAUACCGGUGGCGAAGGCGGCCCCCUGGACAAAGACUGACGCUCAGGUGCGAAAGCGUGGGGAGCAAACAGGAUUAGAUACCCGUGUAGUUCCUGUCUCUUAUAC